UCCAAUUCGGCGAAAAGUCUUAGCACUUUGACCCAAUUAUUCUAAACUCUGGCCUCAAAUCAGGUAGGAUUACCCG
RNAcentral lists this ribosomal RNA (76 nucleotides) under Microstromatales sp. RNAcentral describes it as "partial 28S ribosomal RNA". The record is from RNAcentral. Lineage: Eukaryota; Fungi; Basidiomycota; Exobasidiomycetes; Microstromatales.